AAAAAAUUGAUGCUGAGCAUAACGUCAUGCACUGGUGACCACCGUGCCUGAAGCUAGCUUGUGCUUUCAGUCUUUGCAAAAUAAGCGGUUCAGCCUGGAGGUAUGACACAUGUUUUCUUUAGGUGAGAGCCACAGGGGAGCAGUGAUUGUAUAAUUUUAUCCGGCAUACAUGAGUAGGAUGCAAUAGUGUAAUAUGUACAGGAUGAAACUAGAAAAUUGCAACAUUGAACAGUUACAAUUUUAGUUUAUAUCAAACUGACAAGGCCUCUUAAAACAAGGAAUAAGAAGCACAGAUGCCUUAACGCCCAAGUGCUCAGUUUCUCAGCUGUCCAUAUUUACAUACAGUGUAGCCAACCUGUUGCUGAUGGGAGCGGAUUCAACAUGCUGAUGUAAACUUGCGCAGUGAUUUCUGUGCUUAUGCUUUCUCCUCCACUGGUGAUAAACCCUGAUAACAUCAACACUUGCCAGGUUCAGAAGGGCUUGUCUUAGCUGCAAAGGAAGAAAGACAAAAUGCUUGGAAGCGGUUUAACUCAGCUGCUGCUUCAUUAACUCCCCUGGGAAUAUCCAGUGUCAAAAGAGUUAUUGCGUCUCCUCUUGGCCAUGGACACCUAUUUUGGAGAAGGCUGCCACUAGCUCUUUCAAGGAUGGCUUCGUCUAUAGAAAUGCAGAAGUCCGGCUGAGCUCUGCCUUCUAAAUUUCACAGUAUUUAUCUCUUUUGAGUAACAACAUUUCCUAUUUGGAAAGAACUUCAAAUUAAACUCUCAUCAAAGUCCAGCAGUAUAGCAGUUUGGGGUAUUUUUUUUCUCUUUUUGUGUUCUCUACAGCGAAGUUUCAGCCUACAAUGCUAACACUGGUAGUUUAGCUGCCCAUACUGUGUUUUGUUCCUAACUUCUUUUCAUUAACAUACUCUUUGCAUUAUGUUUCAAAGUCUAACUAAAUAUUUUCAGUGCUAGGAAAAGUGUAACUAGGUUGUACUGAUCAUGACUUAUUUUUGCACUGUUAAAAAACAGUAAGUGAUUUAAAAAUACAUGCUAGUUUGUGAAAGAUUGAAUAAAUCUCCAUUUUAAUACUACA
RNAcentral lists this long non-coding RNA (1074 nucleotides) under Apteryx rowi (Okarito brown kiwi). RNAcentral's name for it is "lncRNA (ENSARWG00000017552.1)". Lineage: Eukaryota; Metazoa; Chordata; Aves; Apterygiformes; Apterygidae. The record is from RNAcentral.